RNAcentral lists this long non-coding RNA (554 nucleotides) under Triticum aestivum (bread wheat). Its description in RNAcentral is "long non-coding RNA (TAES_LNC001617)". The record is from RNAcentral. Lineage: Eukaryota; Viridiplantae; Streptophyta; Magnoliopsida; Poales; Poaceae.
UGAAGUUCAUCUCCCUACCACUCCGUUAGUACUUCUCUCACCCCAUAUGCCCUUGGAAGAUCACAUGUCUCUCUCAUCUUACUCACAACUGAUUGUUAUUGUUUUGCUGCAGAUUUUGUGUCAGAACAGAGAAUUGUUACAGUUGAGAUCAUAGACAAAUCUUAUGUUGCAACAACAAGUUUGGAGGUUGUGCUGAGAAUUAAAAUGUCAAGCUUCAAAAAAUAGAUGCUUCAAGUAUUUAAUCUCUUUCAAAUACUCUUAUCAUGUUCCUUUCAGUGGUUAGAUCCCACAACUAAGAUAUGUUUGCUUCACACUCAUGCUUGUAAUACGCCUAUAUGGUUCCUUAUUUCAUCAUGUCCACGUUUGUAAUUCUCUGGUGCAGCAGAGCUGACCGAUAGUAGAGGUUAACCUUCUUUUUAGCCAAAGCUUCUAGUAUUUUACUAAUUAUAUGUGCUCUUUGGUGCAGCACUCACUCAACAUAUUGAUAUGUAAGUCAAUUUUAACAAAUAACUCUUUGCUUUGUCGUGGUGGCUAAAAUACAUCACACUUAUCUG